Molecule: ribosomal RNA, 239 nt
Filed under: uncultured bacterium
Lineage: Bacteria
Description: partial 16S ribosomal RNA
Rfam family: Bacterial small subunit ribosomal RNA
Source: RNAcentral
GAUCCUGGCUCAGGAUGAACGCUAGCGACAGGCUUAACACAUGCAAGUCGAGGGGCAUCAUGAGGUAGCAAUACCUUGAUGGCGACCGGCGCACGGGUGAGUAACGCGUAUGCAACCUGCCCGAUACCGGGGGUAUAGCCCAUGGAAACGUGGAUUAACACCCCAUAGUACUUUUAUCCUGCAUGGGAUGUGAGUUAAAUGUUCAAGGUAUCGGAUGGGCAUGCGUCCUAUUAGUUAGG